Long non-coding RNA from Daphnia magna, 1833 nucleotides. RefSeq lists it as uncharacterized. The transcript has 2 exons. Lineage: Eukaryota; Metazoa; Arthropoda; Branchiopoda; Diplostraca; Daphniidae. The record is from RefSeq and is a predicted model, not a curated record.
GACAAGAAAGAAGAAAUGUUGCAUUUCAAAAUUACGUCAAGAUAAUACGUCUCAGAAAUAAUCUGUGUGGCAGAGCCUGAGGAACUUUAAAACGAACUAAAAUCCGUGUAGAAACUGCGCAUCAUUCCUUGAAUCUCAAGGACGGCUACGAAAACCCCUUUGGUUACUCUUAUCGAAGGACGGUUCUCAUUGGAAGUCAGUAAAGAUUUACACAAAAUAUUAACACAGCAUAUGAAAAUACGGCCAAUCUCGACUUCCGAAACUGUCACGCCCACAGAAAAUAUUUACGUACUUCCCCGGAUAAUUAUCACUUUACAGAUACUCGAACGAGAGAUUUUUCAAUGAGCAUUUGGCCACAGACCGUUUGUCUUUACAAAUAUACCCAGUUGUAACUAACCAAAUGGAUCAACAGAAAACUCGGUAUUUACAUGACAAUAAGAAAAUUAUUGCAACAAACCAAUUUCCUACAAGGUAAUAAAUGAUGGCAGCACACCUAUCGGCGUACGCGUCUUAGGUCCCGAAGGUUUUUCAACAAUCUCAACAUCCACGUCAUCAAGGACUUCUUCAUCUGGUUUGGCCUUUGUUUCUUCAUCAUAGUAACGCUUCUGCGCCUUCUUUUUAGAAGUUUUGGUCUUCUUGAUGCUUUUAUUUGAUUUAUUUAUAACAGCCAACCUUUGCAGUUUGCUGCCAUGAUGUGCCGAUGGUGUACAAAGUGGGGACUUAAAGUUGGUGAAACUACGAUUGACAACGAAACGGGUGGCGAUAGACCGAUUGAUAACGGAGCGGCUUACGAUGGAGUGGUUGGAGCCAAGUUUCCCCAAAGUGAGGCUAUUGGAUUUCCAACACUUAUUUCGAAUCAGUCGAUAUUUGCUUUGAAGAAUCUUGGGUAAUGACGUUCGAGGACUUGCAAUCUUGUUGGCCUUCUUUUUCGUUUUGGCAACCCGAUUAUCCAGUUUAAAGCGUGAAUUGGCUGGGGGCUGCUUUUCAAUUGGCGUACUUGUUAAUUUUGGGGGAGUUAGCGUCUUGAAUAUGUGGUGCUGCCCACGUUGGGUAAAACGAUUGAUUAUCUUCGGAGACUUUACGGCGGAUUUUCGAACCAGUUUAUAGGCAUGUUUAAUGGCGAUUGUUUUUAGUGGGCUCUCCAUUUUCCGCCAUUUAUAUUUACUUUUCACUGAAUUAUUUAUAAAAUUGAACUUUGUCAGUUUACGACGAUCUGCAAGGUGACGAAUGGGACUUGGUUUUGUCUGUUGUUGUUGCGCAAUCUGUUCAGAGUUCUGCAUGUUCAAGGUCGAGAUUGGUUGUUUACUUGCCUUGACUUUUUGCUGAAGAGCCUGUCUGUCCAUAGAUGAAAUUUCAUCAUUUUGAACAAGCACAACUCUCUCAGCAUGAUAGACUUCUUGACAGUUCAAUGGAAUCCCAAUAUUCUUUUCAGAUUGUACAUGAGGGAAGAACUUGGGAUUGACGAUUAUUCUUUUGGGGUUGGGCAAUUCUGGGGGUGGAAGCACAUUUGGUUGAAAAAAGGCUGGGUUGACAUGGACAAAAUUUCCUCUCACUGCAGGAGGGCCAGGUACCACUUGAUUCCACUGCCAGUUCAAGCUUGCAGGAUUUACAUGAAAAUAAUGUGGUGGGUAAUUUCCUAUUACAUUCUGCGGAUUGUUGGGAUUCAUUCCAGAUUUCUAAAAAAAGAAAAAUUCAAUUAUGACAUCAAUACUGCUGUGUACCAUAUUCCAUAUGCAAUGUUCAUUUAACUUAUUAAGUGGUCACACACGAGAUCCAAGAUUUACUGUUUGAUUACAACCCAAAGAAAUAAAAAAUGUUAUCCUGCCCCAGAAA